Molecule: transfer RNA, 66 nt
Filed under: Polypterus ansorgii (Guinean bichir)
Lineage: Eukaryota; Metazoa; Chordata; Cladistia; Polypteriformes; Polypteridae
Description: tRNA-Ser
Source: RNAcentral
GAGAGAUGCCCGCGCACUAAGAACUGCUAAUUCUUAUUACCUUGGUUAAACUCCAAGGAUCACUCA